Molecule: ribosomal RNA, 329 nt
Filed under: Theileria equi
Lineage: Eukaryota; Apicomplexa; Aconoidasida; Piroplasmida; Theileriidae
Description: SSU rRNA
Rfam family: Eukaryotic small subunit ribosomal RNA
Source: RNAcentral
UUACCCAAUCCUGACACAGGGAGGUAGUGACAAGAAAUAACAAUACGGGGCUUGAAGUCUUGUAAUUGGAAUGAUGGGAAUUUAAACCCCUUCCAGAGUAUCAAUUGGAGGGCAAGUCUGGUGCCAGCAGCCGCGGUAAUUCCAGCUCCAAUAGCGUAUAUUAAACUUGUUGCAGUUAAAAAGCUCGUAGUUGAAUUUCUGCUGUUUCGUUGACUGCGUUUGGCGUUUGUCAUCGUUGCGGCUUGGUUGGGUUUCGAUUAUUCGUUUCCCGGCGUUUACUUUGAGAAAAUUAGAGUGCUUGAAGCAGGCUUUUGCCUUGAAUACUUUAG